This 591-nucleotide unclassified non-coding RNA is filed under the name Bombus terrestris (buff-tailed bumblebee). Its description in RNAcentral is "misc RNA ENSBTSG00005028310.1". Lineage: Eukaryota; Metazoa; Arthropoda; Insecta; Hymenoptera; Apidae. The record is from RNAcentral.
UAGCUAGGACUUUCAAGUUCGUAAAAUAUUGAGUGGAUUUCGUUGGAAACGAUCCGUUUUUGCAUUAAACCGCAGACGUACGUGUUCGUAGGCAGAAAGACCAGCGGAAACUCGGAUGGGCAAGAACGGAAGUCACUUUGCGGGAUGAGCCGGUUUCUUGAAAUAAUAAUAAAAAAAAAAAAGAAGAGAAAGAAAAAAGCGGAGAUGGAAAAGGGGGAAAGGAUAGAAGGGAAGAAAAAAAGGAGCAGAGCAAGAGGGAGGAAAAAUGAGAAGUUAGUCAGCGAGUUUCAGUCGUCACAGGUCUAUCAGAGCUGGUUCGAGAAACUUAGCCGAUGAACUUCGCCAAGGAAUUCCGGGCGUUUUAAUCGAAGAAGCACAUCGUUACCGGCUGCGUCUAAAGGGAUUACCGCUUUGAAAAGUGUCUUCAUUACCUUUGCAGCCGAUAGUUCACAAGAGAACUGAACGUCUGAUUUACCCGAUAUUUGCCAGCCUUUUUUCCCUUCCCCCAGUUGUACAGAUAAUGGCGCUCUCUAACAAAUUUCGGUCUUUCAUUCGAGGAAAGAAUAAAAAGGAAGAUUCCGUACACGAACG